UCAAGGACUGAAAUGAAUCAUCUAUGCUACUAAGUCACCCUGGCCAGUCCCAAACUUUCCUGGGUAGAAUCAAUAUAUGUGCAAACAUGAGAUGGAGCAUCAGUGGAUGGGAAGGAGAGCAAGGUGGAGGCUGCAGCCUGAGGAGGGGGGGGUCUAGAGAGAGAGUGAGAGGACCAGCCAGAAGCGACCAGCCACCCAUACCCACAGGUAAUAUGUGUCUUCUCAGUACUCUGUUGAUUCAGGCAUCUGAUUCACAAGCAUGCCUGGAUUCUCUGAGCACCAAACACACUGUCGCUUCCCCUAACCCUACCACAGAGCAGAUGAAGAAACUAAGGUGCUUAUCAGAGCCCCCAAGCAGGACACAAGCUACCGUCAUUCUGUCCUCACAGACCUGCUCUUCACCAGCAGAAUCAGAGGCCCAUUUGGUGUCAGCACUAGGGCCAGGCCGAGACAAAACAGCUGGGUCAUUUCAGGGGAGCCAGGCACUGGAUCUUUCCAUGACCCCAAGGACUGCUGUGUGGUGCUGGGCCAUGAAUUGUGAUGUCAGACUUAUCUGAGUUCAAAUCCUCUCCUUGAUGCUUGUUAAAUAUCCAUGUGUUUUUAAGCAGCUACUUUACCAUCUUCCAUACCCAUUUGGAAAUAAAGACUAUAACUGUCAACUCUGGUAUUGUUUUGUUCUAGACAAAGUCUCUCCAUGUAGUCAGAACAUGCUUCCAAUUCUAUCUGCAUGUAUGGUAUAUGCCUGUAUGCAUGA
Molecule: long non-coding RNA, 754 nt
Filed under: Cricetulus griseus (Chinese hamster)
Lineage: Eukaryota; Metazoa; Chordata; Mammalia; Rodentia; Cricetidae
Description: lncRNA (ENSCGRG00000024273.1)
Source: RNAcentral